Molecule: long non-coding RNA, 990 nt
Organism: Homo sapiens (human)
Lineage: Eukaryota; Metazoa; Chordata; Mammalia; Primates; Hominidae
Gene: C2CD5-AS1
Product: C2CD5 antisense RNA 1
Source: Ensembl
GCGGGCCGAAGCGCGAGUGCUGCUCUGUGACAGCCUCCGGCCGCGGCCUUCCCAGCUGCUACCGCCGCUUUUCGGAUGGGCUGUGAUAGAUGGAGUAGCAGCGAAGACUGCUAGAAGAGCGUUUUCAGUCGGCCUUUAGUGAUUCGUAAAACCAAAUUAGCUGGUUUCUACUUGGAAGGGGUACAGAAGAUCAAACUCUCCCAAAAAGUAGAGAUUAAACAACAACUAAAGAUGGCGAAUCAUAGAAGUUACCACCAUUCCUGGUAUUGGUCCCAGUUCUUCUAAGAAUAUUUUUGAUGCAAGAGCUGUUUUAUCUUGAAUCCUACAUAGCUUAUUUUCCAUUUUUCCAUUCAAAUAAAACAACAAGAGAACAAUAGAGUGAAGAAAAAGGAUGUUUAAGCCUAAAUCCAAGACUGAGGUACAAGACCAAGAAAAGUGGGGCAGAAGAUGGAAAAGAACAAGUGAAGAAUCUUGGAAACAAUUCAAAGGAGACUUGCUCUGUUGCCCAGUCUGGAGUGCAGUGGCACAAUCUCAGCACACUGCAACUUCCACCUCCUGUGUUCAAGUGAUUCUCCUGCCUCAGCCUCCUGAGUAUCUGGGAUUACAGGCCAACCCUGCUUAUUCCUGUAAACCAACCAGUGAUCUCUGGCUGCUGCUUAGAAGAAACAAGAGGGAUGGCUAAUUAAACAGGUUGAAGUAAAGGAGCCAGCCCAAACCCACCAAAACCAAAAUGGUGACGAGAGUGACAUCUGGUCGUCCUCACUGCUACACUCCCACCAGCACCACGACAGUUUACAAAUUCUAUGACAAUGUCAGGAAGUUACCCUAUGUGGUCUAAAAAGAGGAGGCAUGAAUAAUCCACCCCUUGUUUAGCAUAUCAUCAAGAAAUAACCAUAAAAAUAGGCAAUCUGCAGCCCCCAGGCUGCUCUGUCUAUGGAGUAGCUGUUCUUUUUUUCUUUUACUUUCUUAAUAAACUUCCUUUCACUUUGC